Long non-coding RNA from Entelurus aequoreus (snake pipefish), 936 nucleotides. RefSeq lists it as uncharacterized. Lineage: Eukaryota; Metazoa; Chordata; Actinopteri; Syngnathiformes; Syngnathidae. The transcript is spliced from 4 exons. The record is from RefSeq and is a predicted model, not a curated record.
UGCUACAAGCAUAGCCACGGGGUAGAAACUCCGCGCUAUCUGGGUCUACGGAAUAAGAGUUCCAUUUUGAAUCCGUGAUGGCGUACAUGGCCAUCAAGUUCCCGCUUGAACGUUCGAUUCCCUCCCUGGAAGAUGAUGUCACAAGAAAUGGACAUUAGUACCCGAUGGAAGCCUCGGACCAUAUACACAUGGGAGACAGUAUUCCUUCCAAAGUAUCUCCUUUGGCGACUUCUUACGGAAUGGUGUCCAAAGUUUUUCCAUCGAGGGGCCGCCAACAUUUUGCACAUGAAAGACACCGUAAUAGGACCAAUGACAAAAUGAAAAUGACCCCCGGCUCGCAAUUUGGACAAGGAGGAAAUACUACUAUCACCAGUAGGGAUGGGUACCCAAUCCGGCACAGAUUCACAUAAAAUCCAAUGCCACCUUACAGUACCCGGGUUGUGGGUGACGUGAUGUCCGGUUUCCGACUCUUGGCACUUCGGCACUUGGCGAUCACUCCAGCAGCACCGAGAGUGGACUACCUCCAGGUAAUGUUACAAUUUCUAAUGCCAACAAAGCAAUUGACUCAAAAAACGCUAGGUCUCCACUUUUCCCAAAAUGUGCUAGCUUGAUGCUAAUAUAUGUUGGCUUUGCUAUUGACAUGCCACUGAUUAGCAUUAGCCAUUUUACAUGGCGAUUUCAGCACCUCCAAAGUUGUUAUUGAAAAUUACAACUAAGAUGCACGUUACAAUCAAACAGUUGGUGUGUAAUACACACAAUACUUACAGUAUUGAUACUUUUUAAGGCGCAACAAAACACUACAGCCAUCUAACGUCUUGGACUUGCAACUGUAAUUGCAACUUUAUGUCAGAAUCCGAUGUAUUGGCCAAGUAUGUUAUUUGACUUGAUAGACUGUGCUCUCUUUGUUCAAUGCAAGAAACAUAGAAAAUCGCAACA